GAAGUAAGGUGGAUUGCAGCCUCACCUCCUAAUUAGCUUUAAAUAAUAAAAAAAAAAAAUCAAAAGCCCUGUUCUGUAGAUUGUGUGCAUUUGAAAUCCACAUUUCCAUGGGGCUUAUACCCCUUUUUCUUGGAGUGUCUACAGAAAUACCAAAUUCAACUACCAGAAAGCAAUUCAUCCUUUCAGUUUACCUACAGUGAAAUAAGCAUCUAGGGUAGUUUUUAAAACACACUGGCUAAAUGUGGAUUCAGUUGUUUGUUUCAACAUUAGAAAAGCAUUAAUCAGUGAUAUUGCAUUGACUUCCAAAGGUGUGUAUGCUUUGUGUGCUUGCUUAAAUGACUAACUCUCGUUAGUGAUCCCUAUAAAAGAGCAAAGAAGUUGUUUUAGCAACAUGAAGAAGUAAAUAGUUGAGGUUCUAGAAUUUUUAGUGACGAAACAUUAUGAUAACAUCUAAUUGUUCUUUACAGUUGUCCUCCAUGAAAGGCAAGAAUGGAAAUCUUGCAAGAAUAAUACAGAAGACUAAAGUAAUUUUUAUGUUUGAUAUGUUGAAGAACACAAAGGAAGAAGAAAAGACUGGGAAGAAAUUCAAAGAACAAUUCCCUGUGCAAGUAGAAGCACAUGAAAGCUAUUGAACAGCCUGAGAUGAUAAAUAAAUGAAACAGUGAGAAAGUUCAGCUCACUCAGUCUGGCAAGGAAGAAGCUCAGGAGAGAGCUAGGAGCAGCCUGCAGCUGUUGGAAGGAGCCUCCUCUCAGCUGCUGCACUGCCUUGCUUCAGGAAGUCAUAGGACACAUGCACAUAACUUAACAGGUAUUGGUCUUGUAAGAAGGCCAGGAAAUGCAGGGUGGUCCCAGAGGAACUGAUACAGACAACUUAAACUGUGUUUUUUUUUUCAAAUGUGUCACCCAACUCUGUGGAAAUAGAUUGUUAAUUUAAGUGCUUACCUCCAGGGUCAAAUGUGAUUUUCCAGCACAAUGCCAUAAGUCUGAUGCCUGUAUGGCUAUAGCAAUAGUCUCGUCAGAUCGAAUUCUGACACAGAAGAUGGAAUAGAGGAGCUUUUUAAAUACCUCAUCCUAGGUAGAUUUAAGUUAAUCAUCUGUGCAGUUCUGUACUGUCAAGUGGUGAUCUGGGCUAGAGUUCACUAGUUCUAACAUUACAGGCUGCUACUGCUCAACUCAGAGGAAGGAUGAAGAUGACACCUAACUGGAACCAAACUUCUACUGAAGAGAAGAGUUGGCACCACAGGGCAAUUACGAAUGGACACUUUCAUUUGUCACUAUAGACUGGCCAUAUAUAACUCUUCUGAAAUUUUUUUCAAAACUUAACGGUGGUUUUAGGUCAAUGAGUUUUUUGUUUUAAUGGCUAAGUUCUUUUAGGUUUGUUAUUUACUUAUACCUUUUUCGUAUUUAUAAUACUUUCCCAUUUCAAGUCAUGUAAUCUUCCUCCUUUGGUAAUUCAUCUUUGUCUCUGCUGAAUCUUCAUUCUUGUUCUGGCAGUGCAUCUUUUUCUCUGGUAGAGAAUCUUCCUUUUAGUUCUAAAUAGCUCAAAAAAAAAAAAAAAGACUUCAGAGGCAGUUAAAGUGAAAGGUAGUGCUACGAUAAGACUGUACGAGAUACCCUUCUUUAAUUCCUUCUAUUUAAUGCGUUCUGCUAUGUUUCUAAAUUUGGACUCCGUAGUUAUUCCACUUACGCUCCUGUACUGCCACCAGUGCAAUCUAAGCUUCCUUUAUGGCCUAGUAAAUGAUUCAAACCUGCUAUUUAAUGUAUUAAACCAAUCUUUUAAAAGAUCUAAAACAGCUUUAAAACAUAGCUGAUUGUAGCUACUUGAUACUAUCCCUAUAUAAACCAGCAUCAUAUAUAUAUAUGUGUUCAAAAUCUGGAAACUACGCAUCCAGCAACUGGAACAGGGGCAUGGCAGACAAGUGGAAUUUGGACUGUCUUUGGCAAAGCUUAGUAUUAUAUUACUACUGUAGGGCAAUUACUAUUGUUUCAAUUACAACCCAUCAAUUCAUAUACAUUCAAUUGUAUAGUAGUUACAAAUUACACAGCAAGACUUAAAACUUUCUUUCUUUCUUCUUCAG
Molecule: long non-coding RNA, 2078 nt
Organism: Gallus gallus (chicken)
Lineage: Eukaryota; Metazoa; Chordata; Aves; Galliformes; Phasianidae
Source: Ensembl